UAACGACUCUCGGCAACGGAUAUCUCGGCUCUCGCAUCGAUGAAGAACGUAGUGAACUGCGAUACUUGGUGUGAAUUGCAGAAUCCCGUGAACCAUCGAGUCUUUGAACGCAAGUUGCGCCCGAAACCUUUGGUCGAGGGCACGUUUGCCUGGGUGUCA
Molecule: ribosomal RNA, 159 nt
Filed under: Eucalyptus crebra
Lineage: Eukaryota; Viridiplantae; Streptophyta; Magnoliopsida; Myrtales; Myrtaceae
Description: 5.8S ribosomal RNA
Rfam family: 5.8S ribosomal RNA
About the family: 5.8S ribosomal RNA (5.8S rRNA) is a component of the large subunit of the eukaryotic ribosome. It is transcribed by RNA polymerase I as part of the 45S precursor that also contains 18S and 28S rRNA.
Source: RNAcentral